This is a long non-coding RNA of Odocoileus virginianus texanus, 998 nucleotides long. RefSeq lists it as uncharacterized. The record is from RefSeq and is a predicted model, not a curated record. NCBI's taxonomy places the organism in Eukaryota, Metazoa, Chordata, Mammalia, Artiodactyla, Cervidae.
AAGAGAGGAAGCAUUCUCUCUCUUUGAAUAAAAAAAUCCUCACUUCAUUGCAUAGUGCACAGAACAGCUCCUUGACUUAAAAAACCCAGCUUGAAAAAAUCUGACCUGAACAAACAGGUAGGAAAAUAGAUGCACAGAAAGAUCAUAAAUCCCCCAUGUGAGAGGUGUCUUCCCUAUUAUCUGGAAGAAAGGAGCAUCUUUGCCUUUGAAUACAAAGGAUGCCAAGAAGAAUCUGAAUGGCUAGGACUUAUGCAGCCAGAGGCCCUGAGGAGGGUCAAGGAAAACUUUCCUUCCUUACACCUUGGUAGAGCUUUCUGGACUUGAAACUCCUCCAAGAGAGACAGCUUCCUCAACUCCUGCCCUUAUCAAGAACCACUGCUGCAUAGUAAUGACCAGAAGGCUCCAGUUACACCCUUCCUGCUACAACUUGAGAGCAUGUGGCUGAGUUCUGGCUACAGCCACAUGUACACCUGAUAUAAAAUGCUUGUGUCAUCUUCUACUCUGUCUUUCCCUGUCCAUUUGUCUGGAAAUGAAGGCCCAUGAGAUGGCAGAAGGAAAACAAAAAAAGAAUACUGAAGCUGAUUCCCUCACUGCCCAUGUGGGUCUGACUCUCUGAGUCACCAUGUGGAGUGGCUCCUCCUGGGAAAGCAAGAUAACCAGGAGCAUCUACCGCAGAAUCCUGCGCGCAUGUAAGAAAUACAUCUCCUUGUGUUACGCCACUGAGAUUUUGGAGCUACUUUAGUCACAGAAAUUAGUCUAUUUUGACUUACCCAGUAAUUGCUCAGACUAAGACAUAUUCUUUUAAAUGAUCCAGGAAGUCCUUCAAAUGUGCCAGAACAGUCAUCAUCUGAGAAUUAUUUACUAGUUAGGCACUUCAAAUAAAUGGCUUUGGAGCAACUCCUCCCAGGAGGAGUUCCUCCCUGGAAUGUGACAUGCUUUCUGAAGAAAUGAUAUAAAAGUUGGAGAAGACAGAAGAUUUUUGAAUUCUACUGUACACA